CCCUGGCUGGCUCAGUCAGAAGAGCAUGAGACUCUUGAUCUUGGGGUCAUGAGUUUAAACCCCAUGUUGGGCA
This 73-nucleotide transfer RNA is filed under the name Ailuropoda melanoleuca (giant panda). It matches the Rfam family "tRNA". From Rfam's summary of the family: Transfer RNA (tRNA) molecules are approximately 80 nucleotides in length. Lineage: Eukaryota; Metazoa; Chordata; Mammalia; Carnivora; Ursidae. The record is from Rfam by way of RNAcentral.